Molecule: long non-coding RNA, 3775 nt
Organism: Lycium barbarum (goji berry)
Lineage: Eukaryota; Viridiplantae; Streptophyta; Magnoliopsida; Solanales; Solanaceae
Exons: 6
Source: RefSeq, a predicted model, not a curated record
UUACACCCCGUACUUCGAAGAAACACUGUUAAAUUUGAAUGUAAGAAUGUCGAGUUACGACUAGUUAAAACAACUUUGGAGUAUGAGGAAUGAGACAUUAUUAAGUAUAUUGUUUAAAUAAUGGAUGAUUAUGAUCUUGUAAGUCGUCAUCGGGAAAGAGUAUUUUAAAACACAAGAAUAUGGUCAUUAUCAUGUAUAAUAAGUGAUAAAUAUCAUGUAUGGAGGGUUUCGGAAUAUUUCGAGAUCGAGCAAGUUGAAGAAAAUAAGUUCGACGAAAAUUUGAGAAAUGCUGGACAAAUUUUUAGUCAACUUUGGAGGGGUAUAUCUCUAUGCAUAUUUGGAGUUUUAAGGCGUUUCAAAAGCCUAAAAUGAAGUUCGUCAAGUCUAGUUUAUGAUUCAACAAACCACUCAUCGAUAGGACGUCGGAGUAGAGAAUUAUAGACGCUACAAACUGAACUGUCGCGCAGAAACAGCACUGCUACAGUACGCUACAGCACUGCUACAGUACUGUAGCUACAGUGACGCCGUUUCAGCCCUUAUAAAAAGGGGCAAAACCCCAUUUUUAUCAUCUAAAAACUUCUCAAAUUUUCCAGAAAAUUCAGCAACAAAAAGGGGCCUAAAUCUCACAUAAAAGUGAGGAUUGUGAGUGAAAUUUCAAGCUACGAAGUACUAAUCGAAGUCCGGGCAACGCAUAAUCACGAAUAUAAUUUUGUUUGGAGUUAGAGGAGCAUGGGAACAAUAAGAUGUUGAAGGAUUUGCUACUUUCAUAAAAACAAGGUUUUGGACGAAACGGGAUUUGAGUUUUGGCAAGCGUAAAGGGCAAGAAAGGUACAGACUACAGAUUUGCUGACCCACCUGCCUAGGACACCUAUUCUGCUAUUCUGGAGUGCUCUUUUGUCCAGAGCCUAUACUCUGGUACAGUCUGCUGCUGUUGGAUAUAUGUGCGCUAUUCAUGGGUACGACGGGGCCCUGUCCUGUCUUAUGUUUCUGUUAUGUUCUGUAGAGGUCUGUAGACAUACAUGUGGGUUCUGUAUAUGUUUUGGGUUGCUAUGAUUUGUGAUAGCCUUAUCGGCUUCCAUGUGUUAUAUAUGUUCCUCUAUGACACUAGUAAUGUCGACUGACUUUUAUAUUUAUAUAAUCUGCUAGUCUGCUGGUUUGGAUUAUUGGGUACGUUUGGGUGUCCAGCACGGACACUAGUCACGGCCUACGGGGUUGGGUCGUGACAAAAGUGGUAUCAGAGCAGUUCGUCCUCGGAAUGUCUACAGACCGUGUCUAGUAGAGUCUUGUUUAUCGGUGUGUUGUGCACCACAUCUAUAAACAGGAGGCUACAGGACAUUUAGGGUGUUACUUUUCUUUGAAUCUUAGAUCGUGCGAUAGAGCCAGCUAUAGGAAAUGAACCCCUUUUUUUUUACUAACCCUUGAUUGCAGCUGGAGAACGGUAUCGACGUAAGACAGCGACUGAUGAUAUUGGAAGCUACACAGUACACAGGUAAGUAAUGGUAUGAAAGAUUUAUGCUGGGUAAGGUGUUUGAAAUACGAUUGAAACAUGAAGCUGAAGAUUGAAAAGAAAAAAAAAUAAGCAGGAAAGUGUAGUAGGUGCAGUUUGAGUUGGGCAUGUGAGGUAAGCCUCAGCAUCUUUAUACUUUUAUUUGAAAUUAUUAGCCCCGUGUGGCUAUGAGGCGAUAUGAUACGAUAUGUAUAUACGUAUAUGUGUUGGCCCUGUGAGGCAUGGUUGGUAUUUCCUGUGUACAGGUUUUGGGAUAGUAAGAAAUACAGAGGAACCUCUGCCCAAUUUUUUCUAGAAAUACGGAGAGGAAAAUGAGAUAUAAAUUCUUAACGUGUCUUGAAGAUCGAUACCGUAGGGUAAAUCUAUUAUGUUGGAUUAAAGUUUAAGAGAUACCCUCCAUGUCAUUUGUAAGAAGCAUUAUCCCUAUUUGGAAAAAUUUUAUCUCGAGAAAUCAUAUAUGAGUAGCAAAUUCUCAAUUUAUUUAAACGGACCGGAAAUAUGUUCCAACCCCAUUUUGCUUUAGAACAGCCUAGGUUGAGGGGCAAAAAUAUGUGGAAGGGCAAAGAUGCCCAACGGUUAAGUUUCCUCUAAUUGGAAGAAUACAAAGUGUAUGACAGGCAGUUGAGGAUUGAGUGGUCCGCUUACGACUCAAAUAUAUAUAUAUACAAAUAUGGAGGUAAUUAUGUGAAUUAAGUACUAACAGAUUCCGCGAAGUUCGUCGGAUUCUAGUUUUCUUUUGCUGGUAGUCGGAAGAUGCCUCACAGUAACAUUAUAUCAGUUUUCAUCGACUGAUUGGAGAUGGGAUCUGUGGAAUAAAAACUUAAACUCGUGAGCUGUCUAAAAUUACAUAUAUACACACAUGGAGAGUUAGUGGACAGACAAAUAACAAGAAAAAGGGAUGACCUUGAGUACAGGCGUAAAUCUUGGCUACAAAAGAAGAAGAAUGGAUUGCAUAGUUUGGAUAAGUUCAGUUUUACCGGGCAAGCAAUACUGAAAGUAAGUAAAGUAAAUACUGAUAAAUACGGGAAAAAAACAUUGAUAUCUACCUCGGGGAGAACUCUACCUCAACAUUCGAGGACGAAUGUUUUUAAAGGGGGGGAGAAUGUUACACCCCGUACUUCGAAGAAACACUGUUAAAUUUGAAUGUAAGAAUGUCGAGUUACGACUAGUUAAAACAACUUUGGAGUAUGAGGAAUGAGACAUUAUUAAGUAUAUUGUUUAAAUAAUGGAUGAUUAUGAUCUUGUAAGUCGUCAUCGGGAAAGAGUAUUUUAAAACACAAGAAUAUGGUCAUUAUCAUGUAUAAUAAGUGAUAAAUAUCAUGUAUGGAGGGUUUCGGAAUAUUUCGAGAUCGAGCAAGUUGAAGAAAAUAAGUUCGACGAAAAUUUGAGAAAUGCUGGACAAAUUUUUAGUCAACUUUGGAGGGGUAUAUCUCUAUGCAUAUUUGGAGUUUUAAGGCGUUUCAAAAGCCUAAAAUGAAGUUCGUCAAGUCUAGUUUAUGAUUCAACAAACCACUCAUCGAUAGGACGUCGGAGUAGAGAAUUAUAGACGCUACAAACUGAACUGUCGCGCAGAAACAGCACUGCUACAGUACGCUACAGCACUGCUACAGUACUGUAGCUACAGUGACGCCGUUUCAGCCCUUAUAAAAAGGGGCAAAACCCCAUUUUUAUCAUCUAAAAACUUCUCAAAUUUUCCAGAAAAUUCAGCAACAAAAAGGGGCCUAAAUCUCACAUAAAAGUGAGGAUUGUGAGUGAAAUUUCAAGCUACGAAGUACUAAUCGAAGUCCGGGCAACGCAUAAUCACGAAUAUAAUUUUGUUUGGAGUUAGAGGAGCAUGGGAACAAUAAGAUGUUGAAGGAUUUGCUACUUUCAUAAAAACAAGGUUUUGGACGAAACGGGAUUUGAGUUUUGGCAAGCGUAAAGGGCAAGAAAGGUACAGACUACAGAUUUGCUGACCCACCUGCCUAGGACACCUAUUCUGCUAUUCUGGAGUGCUCUUUUGUCCAGAGCCUAUACUCUGGUACAGUCUGCUGCUGUUGGAUAUAUGUGCGCUAUUCAUGGGUACGACGGGGCCCUGUCCUGUCUUAUGUUUCUGUUAUGUUCUGUAGAGGUCUGUAGACAUACAUGUGGGUUCUGUAUAUGUUUUGGGUUGCUAUGAUUUGUGAUAGCCUUAUCGGCUUCCAUGUGUUAUAUAUGUUCCUCUAUGACACUAGUAAUGUCGACUGACUUUUAUAUUUAUAUAAUCUGCUAGUCUGCUGGUUUGGAUUA